UUCUCACCCUCCUCAUCUGACCUCCCGUGUGAUAUUUGGUAACAAACAAGUAAGUCCGUGUCUUUAUCUCUUUGUUGUACGUGCUUAUAUGGUGAUGACUGUAAAGCAUUCUGCUAAGUAUUAAGUGGCAAAAGUGGUCAUAACUGUAUAUAUCUAAUAAGACCCUUGACAGAAUCACUUAAAGCAGAGUCUAUAUUUCUCAGUCUAUAUUUUUUCGUAGUUGCCCCUAAAAAGCACACCCCCUUUUUUCCUUCUAUGUUUUUUAGUUUUCUUCUUCUUCUUUUUUUUUUUUUUAGUUCCCAAAGUGUCCACCUUUUCAGAUCAUGUACCCAUUAGGCUAACUGCCUUAGGAAUCCUCUAGUUCUUGAAAAUAAGAGCUAAGAAGUUUUCAUAUCCCCCUCUUCUCAGAUUUGUGAAAUACAUUUGUCAUAAUGGCUGACUUUUGACACAGAUGACAUCAUUUUACCAUCAUAAUAGAAUUUAGAAUUCUGUCAAUAUAGAAGAGAUGCUAGAAGUUUCAUUAUUUAUAAGAGGCUCCAAAUGGAUAAAACCAAACACAGUAAAACCUUACAAAAGAUCUUAGAAAGUAUUGACACAAUGACAUUUUUGGCAAUUUCUUUAUGAUGAUACCUUGUAGAAAUAGAUCUAGCCAUGAGUACCAAGAAAGUUUUGCUUAGGAAUCGUCCGCCAUUGAGGUUGGAAGCUAUCAGUACUAAUUCUUUGUAUGUAGCAACCCAAUACUUGCUGUGCUGACCCUACUGUAAAGGCAUCUUUGGCUGCAUUCUUACUCCUCCUCCUAUUCAUUUCUGAGCCAACUGAUCCUGCCAUAAAUGCCACCAGAUAAAGUAAGGAUCAUCUUUUUUGUACCUCUGGUCUUCCACAAUUCAGAUCAUCUCACUGAAGGUGCUAUUUUUGUCUUCAAGGUACUUCAAAUCAAUUUGGUGGCCCUUUUGUUGUGGAGCUAUGCAAUGCCUGUGAAAUAUCACUGUCAAGCUUCAUGACUUUAUAAUGUAUUUUUCUAUUUUAAUUUUCCCUACCUUUAUCUGUAAUAAAUUCAAACAUAAAUCCUCA
This 1071-nucleotide long non-coding RNA is filed under the name Felis catus (domestic cat). RNAcentral describes it as "lncRNA (ENSFCAG00000051953.1)". The record is from RNAcentral. Lineage: Eukaryota; Metazoa; Chordata; Mammalia; Carnivora; Felidae.